CAAUACUUUGUCAAACUUGCGUUUAAAGGAUCUCAAAUUUUUAUUUAACACAUAUUUUUUCAAUGGCUGAGAAAUUGAUGCACACAAAUUUACUUUUGUAACUACAUUUUCAGACUGCAGACCAACUAGAAACUAAAGAACUUAAGGGAGACUUCUUGUGUAACAAGGGAUUAGAAAUGACUUGGGGCUCAAGAUCCGGCUUCAAAUACUGAGCAAGCAAGUCAGCAUACAGC
This 233-nucleotide long non-coding RNA is filed under the name Prunus persica (peach). RNAcentral describes it as "long non-coding RNA (PPER_LNC001001)". The record is from RNAcentral. Lineage: Eukaryota; Viridiplantae; Streptophyta; Magnoliopsida; Rosales; Rosaceae.